CACUUAUUUGACGUUAGCGACAGAAGAAGCACCGGCUAACUCCGUGCCAGCAGCCGCGGUAAUACGGAGGGUGCGAGCGUUAAUCGGAAUUACUGGGCGUAAAGCGCAUGCAGGUGGUUUGUUAAGUCAGAUGUGAAAGCCCCGGGGCUCAACCUCGGAAUAGCAUUUGAAACUGGCAGACUAGAGUACUGUAGAGGGGGUAGAAUUUCAGGUGUAGCGGUGAAAUGCGUAGAGAUCUGAAGGAAUACCGGUGGCGAAGGCGGCCCCCCUGGACAGAUACUGACACUCACGAUGCGAAAGCGUGGGGACGCAAACAGGAUUAGAUACCCUGGUAG
RNAcentral lists this ribosomal RNA (335 nucleotides) under uncultured bacterium. RNAcentral's name for it is "bacterial SSU rRNA". It matches the Rfam family "Bacterial small subunit ribosomal RNA", at positions 462 to 793 of the family's 1533-position model. The record is from RNAcentral.